AGAGUUUGAUCAUGGCUCAGAUUGAACGCUGGCGGCAGGCCUAACACAUGCAAGUCGAACGGUAACAGGAAGCAGCUUGCUGCUUCGCUGACGAGUGGCGGACGGGUGAGUAAUGUCUGGGAAGCUGCCUGAUGGAGGGGGAUAACUACUGGGAACGGUAGCUAAUACCGCAUAAUGUCGCAAGACCAAAGAGGGGGACCUUCGGGCCUCUUGCCAUCGGAUGUGCCCAGAUGGGAUUAGCUUGUUGGUGGGGUAACGGCUCACCAAGGCGACGAUCCCUAGCUGGUCUGAGAGGAUGACCAGCCACACUGGAACUGAGACACGGUCCAGACUCCUACGGGAGGCAGCAGUGGGGAAUAUUGCACAAUGGGCGCAAGCCUGAUGCAGCCAUGCCGCGUGUAUGAAGAAGGCCUUCGGGUUGUAAAGUACUUUCAGCGGGGAGGAAGGGAGUAAAGUUAAUACCUUUGCUCAUUGACGUUACCCGCAGAAGAAGCACCGGCUAACUCCGUGCCAGCAGCCGCGGUAAUACGGAGGGUGCAAGCGUUAAUCGGAAUUACUGGGCGUAAAGCGCACGCAGGCGGUUUGUUAAGUCAGAUGUGAAAUCCCCGGGCUCAACCUGGGAACUGCAUCUGAUACUGGCAAGCUUGAGUCUCGUAGAGGGGGGUAGAAUUCCAGGUGUAGCGGUGAAAUGCGUAGAGAUCUGGAGGAAUACCGGUGGCGAAGGCGGCCCCCUGGACGAAGACUGACGCUCAGGUGCGAAAGCGUGGGGAGCAAACAGGAUUAGAUACCCUGGUAGUCCACGCCGUAAACGAUGUCGACUUGGAGGUUGUGCCCUUGAGGCGUGGCUUCCGGAGCUAACGCGUUAAGUCGACCGCCUGGGGAGUACGGCCGCAAGGUUAAAACUCAAAUGAAUUGACGGGGGCCCGCACAAGCGGUGGAGCAUGUGGUUUAAUUCGAUGCAACGCGAAGAACCUUACCUGGUCUUGACAUCCACGGAAGUUUUCAGAGAUGAGAAUGUGCCUUCGGGAACCGUGAGACAGGUGCUGCAUGGCUGUCGUCAGCUCGUGUUGUGAAAUGUUGGGUUAAGUCCCGCAACGAGCGCAACCCUUAUCCUUUGUUGCCAGCGGUCCGGCCGGGAACUCAAAGGAGACUGCCAGUGAUAAACUGGAGGAAGGUGGGGAUGACGUCAAGUCAUCAUGGCCCUUACGACCAGGGCUACACACGUGCUACAAUGGCGCAUACAAAGAGAAGCGACCUCGCGAGAGCAAGCGGACCUCAUAAAGUGCGUCGUAGUCCGGAUUGGAGUCUGCAACUCGACACCAUGAAGUCGGAAUCGCUAGUAAUCGUGGAUCAGAAUGCCACGGUGAAUACGUUCCCGGGCCUUGUACACACCGCCCGUCACACCAUGGGAGUGGGUUGCAAAAGAAGUAGGUAGCUUAACCUUCGGGAGGGCGCUUACCACUUUGUGAUUCAUGACUGGGGUGAAGUCGUAACAAGGUA
Molecule: ribosomal RNA, 1500 nt
Filed under: metagenome
Description: bacterial SSU rRNA
Rfam family: Bacterial small subunit ribosomal RNA
Source: RNAcentral